This 377-nucleotide unclassified non-coding RNA is filed under the name uncultured Pseudomonadota bacterium. RNAcentral's name for it is "uncultured proteobacterium contains 16S-23S intergenic spacer region". Lineage: Bacteria; Pseudomonadati; Pseudomonadota. The record is from RNAcentral.
UCCGGUUUAUCACCGGCAGUCUCCACAGAGUUCCCGGCAUGACCCGCUGGCAACUACAGGCAAGGGUUGCGCUCGUUGCGGGACUUAACCCAACAUCUCACGACACGAGCUGACGACAGCCAUGCAGCACCUGUAUCUCGGUUCCCGAAGGCACCAAUCCAUCUCUGGAAAGUUCCGAGUAUGUCAAGGGCAGGUAAGGUUCUUCGCGUUGCAUCGAAUUAAACCACAUGCUCCACCGCUUGUGCGGGUCCCCGUCAAUUCCUUUGAGUUUUAAUCUUGCGACCGUACUCCCCAGGCGGGAUGCUUAAUGCGUUAGCUGCGCCACUGAAGGGUAAACCCACCAACGGCUAGCAUCCAUCGUUUACGGCGUGGACUAC